AGCUUUGUGCAGUGACAAUAUCAUAACCAAUGAGGUUUAGCAAGGCACAAUUAUUGCUAAUUGAAAAGCAUUUGAUUCUUUUCAUUUGUAAUUCUUUAAAACUGAACAUGCAAGCUUCUUGAAUAUUUGUAUGAGU
Small nuclear RNA from Heterocephalus glaber (naked mole-rat), 136 nucleotides. Its record names the gene U4. It matches the Rfam family "U4 spliceosomal RNA". From Rfam's summary of the family: U4 small nuclear RNA (U4 snRNA) is a component of the major U2-dependent spliceosome. The structure of U4 snRNA from yeast and human has been reported. The record is from Ensembl. NCBI's taxonomy places the organism in Eukaryota, Metazoa, Chordata, Mammalia, Rodentia, Bathyergidae.